AACGCACAUUGCGCCCCCUGGUAUUCCGGGGGGCAUGCCUGUCCGAGCGUCAUUGCUGCCCUCAAGCACGGCUUGUGUGUUGGGCCCUCGCCCCCCUUCCGGGGGGGCGGGCCCGAAAGGCAGCGGCGGCACCGUCCGGUCCUCGAGCGUAUGGGGCUUUGUCACCCGCUCGUGUAGGCCCGGUCGGCGCCUGUCGACACCCAUCAAUCUUACCCAGGUUGACCUCGGAUCAGGUAGGGAUACCCGCUGAACUUAA
RNAcentral lists this unclassified non-coding RNA (256 nucleotides) under uncultured fungus. RNAcentral describes it as "partial contains 5.8S ribosomal RNA, internal transcribed spacer 2, and large subunit ribosomal RNA". The stretch from base 1 to 52 matches the Rfam family "5.8S ribosomal RNA", at positions 103 to 154 of the family's 154-position model. Lineage: Eukaryota; Fungi. The record is from RNAcentral.